UGAUAGCUAUGAAGCGUGAGGUUGCUGCAUUCUAUGCAGGUUUUCCGUGGAGCGAAUGUCAAGUUAGGAAACUGACGACAA
This is a regulatory RNA element of Firmicutes bacterium CAG:194, 81 nucleotides long. It matches the Rfam family "S10-Clostridia ribosomal protein leader". The record is from Rfam. Lineage: Bacteria; Bacillati; Bacillota.